GGGUUGUGAGGUUAAGCGACUAAGCGUACACGGUGGAUGCCCUGGCAGUCAGAGGCGAUGAAGGACGUGCUAAUCUGCGAUAAGCGUCGGUAAGGUGAUAUGAACCGUUAUAACCGGCGAUUUCCGAAUGGGGAAACCCAGUGUGAUUCGUCACACUAUCAUUAACUGAAUCCAUAGGUUAAUGAGGCGAACCGGGGGAACUGAAACAUCUAAGUACCCCGAGGAAAAGAAAUCAACCGAGAUUCCCCCAGUAGCGGCGAGCGAACGGGGAGGAGCCCAGAGCCUGAAUCAGUGUGUGUGUUAGUGGAAGCGUCUGGAAAGGCGCGCGAUACAGGGUGACAGCCCCGUACACAAAAAUGCACAUGCUGUGAGCUCGAUGAGUAGGGCGGGACACGUGGUAUCCUGUCUGAAUAUGGGGGGACCAUCCUCCAAGGCUAAAUACUCCUGACUGACCGAUAGUGAACCAGUACCGUGAGGGAAAGGCGAAAAGAACCCCGGCGAGGGGAGUGAAAAAGAACCUGAAACCGUGUACGUACAAGCAGUGGGAGCACAGAGCAAUCUGUGUGACUGCGUACCUUUUGUAUAAUGGGUCAGCGACUUAUAUUCUGUAGCAAGGUUAACCGAAUAGGGGAGCCGAAGGGAAACCGAGUCUUAACCGGGCGUUAAGUUGCAGGGUAUAGACCCGAAACCCGGUGAUCUAGCCAUGGGCAGGUUGAAGGUUGGGUAACACUAACUGGAGGACCGAACCGACUAAUGUUGAAAAAUUAGCGGAUGACUUGUGGCUGGGGGUGAAAGGCCAAUCAAACCGGGAGAUAGCUGGUUCUCCCCGAAAGCUAUUUAGGUAGCGCCUCGUGAAUUCAUCUCCGGGGGUAGAGCACUGUUUCGGCAAGGGGGUCAUCCCGACUUACCAACCCGAUGCAAACUGCGAAUACCGGAGAAUGUUAUCACGGGAGACACACGGCGGGUGCUAACGUCCGUCGUGAAGAGGGAAACAACCCAGACCGCCAGCUAAGGUCCCAAAGUCAUGGUUAAGUGGGAAACGAUGUGGGAAGGCCCAGACAGCCAGGAUGUUGGCUUAGAAGCAGCCAUCAUUUAAAGAAAGCGUAAUAGCUCACUGGUCGAGUCGGCCUGCGCGGAAGAUGUAACGGGGCUAAACCAUGCACCGAAGCUGCGGCAGCGACACUGUGUGUUGUUGGGUAGGGGAGCGUUCUGUAAGCCUGUGAAGGUGUGCUGUGAGGCAUGCUGGAGGUAUCAGAAGUGCGAAUGCUGACAUAAGUAACGAUAAAGCGGGUGAAAAGCCCGCUCGCCGGAAGACCAAGGGUUCCUGUCCAACGUUAAUCGGGGCAGGGUGAGUCGACCCCUAAGGCGAGGCCGAAAGGCGUAGUCGAUGGGAAACAGGUUAAUAUUCCUGUACUUGGUGUUACUGCGAAGGGGGACGGAGAAGGCUAUGUUGGCCGGGCGACGGUUGUCCCGGUUUAAGCGUGUAGGCUGGUUUUCCAGGCAAAUCCGGAAAAUCAAGGCUGAGGCGUGAUGACGAGGCACUACGGUGCUGAAGCAACAAAUGCCCUGCUUCCAGGAAAAGCCUCUAAGCAUCAGGUAACAUCAAAUCGUACCCCAAACCGACACAGGUGGUCAGGUAGAGAAUACCAAGGCGCUUGAGAGAACUCGGGUGAAGGAACUAGGCAAAAUGGUGCCGUAACUUCGGGAGAAGGCACGCUGAUAUGUAGGUGAAGUCCCUCGCGGAUGGAGCUGAAAUCAGUCGAAGAUACCAGCUGGCUGCAACUGUUUAUUAAAAACACAGCACUGUGCAAACACGAAAGUGGACGUAUACGGUGUGACGCCUGCCCGGUGCCGGAAGGUUAAUUGAUGGGGUCAGCGCAAGCGAAGCUCUUGAUCGAAGCCCCGGUAAACGGCGGCCGUAACUAUAACGGUCCUAAGGUAGCGAAAUUCCUUGUCGGGUAAGUUCCGACCUGCACGAAUGGCGUAAUGAUGGCCAGGCUGUCUCCACCCGAGACUCAGUGAAAUUGAACUCGCUGUGAAGAUGCAGUGUACCCGCGGCAAGACGGAAAGACCCCGUGAACCUUUACUAUAGCUUGACACUGAACAUUGAGCCUUGAUGUGUAGGAUAGGUGGGAGGCUUUGAAGUGUGGACGCCAGUCUGCAUGGAGCCGACCUUGAAAUACCACCCUUUAAUGUUUGAUGUUCUAACGUGGACCCGUGAUCCGGGUUGCGGACAGUGUCUGGUGGGUAGUUUGACUGGGGCGGUCUCCUCCUAAAGAGUAACGGAGGAGCACGAAGGUUGGCUAAUCCUGGUCGGACAUCAGGAGGUUAGUGCAAUGGCAUAAGCCAGCUUGACUGCGAGCGUGACGGCGCGAGCAGGUGCGAAAGCAGGUCAUAGUGAUCCGGUGGUUCUGAAUGGAAGGGCCAUCGCUCAACGGAUAAAAGGUACUCCGGGGAUAACAGGCUGAUACCGCCCAAGAGUUCAUAUCGACGGCGGUGUUUGGCACCUCGAUGUCGGCUCAUCACAUCCUGGGGCUGAAGUAGGUCCCAAGGGUAUGGCUGUUCGCCAUUUAAAGUGGUACGCGAGCUGGGUUUAGAACGUCGUGAGACAGUUCGGUCCCUAUCUGCCGUGGGCGCUGGAGAACUGAGGGGGGCUGCUCCUAGUACGAGAGGACCGGAGUGGACGCAUCACUGGUGUUCGGGUUGUCAUGCCAAUGGCACUGCCCGGUAGCUAAAUGCGGAAGAGAUAAGUGCUGAAAGCAUCUAAGCACGAAACUUGCCCCGAGAUGAGUUCUCCCUGACCCUUUAAGGGUCCUGAAGGAACGUUGAAGACGACGACGUUGAUAGGCCGGGUGUGUAAGCGCAGCGAUGCGUUGAGCUAACCGGUACUAAUGAACCGUGAGGCUUAACCUUACAACGCCGAAGGUGUUU
Molecule: ribosomal RNA, 2931 nt
Filed under: Escherichia coli
Lineage: Bacteria; Pseudomonadati; Pseudomonadota; Gammaproteobacteria; Enterobacterales; Enterobacteriaceae
Description: 23S ribosomal RNA
Rfam family: Bacterial large subunit ribosomal RNA
Source: RNAcentral